GGCCGUUGACAAAACGGGAGGAAGGUGGGGAUGACGUCAAAUCAUCAUGCCCCUUAUGUUCUGGGCUACACACGUGCUACAAUGGCCGGUACAGACGGACGCAAAGCCGCGAGGUGGAGCAAAUCCCUAAAAAAGCCGGUCUCAGUUCGGAUUGCAGGCUGCAAUUCGCCUGCAUGAAGUCGGAAUCGCUAGUAAUCGCAGGUCAGCAUACUGCGGUGAAUACGUUCCCGGGCCUU
Molecule: ribosomal RNA, 236 nt
Filed under: uncultured Pelotomaculum sp.
Lineage: Bacteria; Bacillati; Bacillota; Clostridia; Eubacteriales; Desulfotomaculaceae
Description: partial 16S ribosomal RNA
Rfam family: Bacterial small subunit ribosomal RNA
Source: RNAcentral